AUUGAACGCUGGCGGCAUGCUUUACACAUGCAAGUCGAACGGUAACAGGUCUUCGGAUGCUGACGAGUGGCGAACGGGUGAGUAAUACAUCGGAACGUGCCUAGUAGUGGGGGAUAACUACUCGAAAGAGUAGCUAAUACCGCAUGAGAUCUACGGAUGAAAGCAGGGGACCUUCGGGCCUUGUGCUACUAGAGCGGCUGAUAGCAGAUUAGGUAGUUGGUGGGGUAAAGGCUUACCAAGCCUGCGAUCUGUAGCUGGUCUGAGAGGACGACCAGCCACACUGGGACUGAGACACGGCCCAGACUCCUACGGGAGGCAGCAGUGGGGAAUUUUGGACAAUGGGCGAAAGCCUGAUCCAGCAAUGCCGCGUGCAGGAUGAAGGCCCUCGGGUUGUAAACUGCUUUUGUACGGAACGAAAAGCCUGGGGCUAAUAUCCCCGGGUCAUGACGGUACCGUAAGAAUAAGCACCGGCUAACUACGUG
RNAcentral lists this ribosomal RNA (482 nucleotides) under uncultured bacterium. Its description in RNAcentral is "partial 16S ribosomal RNA". It matches the Rfam family "Bacterial small subunit ribosomal RNA", at positions 30 to 507 of the family's 1533-position model. The record is from RNAcentral.